Molecule: long non-coding RNA, 359 nt
Organism: Nothoprocta perdicaria
Lineage: Eukaryota; Metazoa; Chordata; Aves; Tinamiformes; Tinamidae
Exons: 3
Source: RefSeq, a predicted model, not a curated record
CCUAGUUUGUGAAAACCCAUCUCCUGGAACAUGCAUCUCUCCUGACUACCAGGACUUUAAGUUAACACAGAUGUAGGAACUGCUGUAAAGUGUCAUGCAAAGUUGAAGAAGCCGGCUUCUUCCAAGUUUCAACUGAUAGAAGGAGUUUGAAGGAGUUUCCAACUGUCUGAAGCUGCUCAGCUGCCAUAAUUACACCCCUUUCCUGAGGAACAGCUUAUUCUUACUUACAGCAGGCCAUGUGCAAACCCUAAGAAUGCCUAUAUUCUGAAUAAAUCCAUUCCACAGGACUGGAAAAUCCAUUUUGGCUGGAAAGCUUCAUUUUUCAAGGAGAGAGAGAGAGAACGUGAAUGGAACUUGGA